GCUUGUUCGGUUUUACUCCUCCUCCCAAAAACCGAACCCAAAGCGCGAUACUCCUCCUCCCAAUCGCGCUUUAUAGAUCCGCCCACUGCACAUUCCUCCUCCCAGUGCAGUGGGCGCUCU
The sequence is a small RNA, 120 nucleotides long. It matches the Rfam family "Alphaproteobacterial ar14". From Rfam's summary of the family: Smr14C2 was renamed NfeR1 (Nodule Formation Efficiency RNA) highly expressed in salt stress and during the symbiotic interaction on legume roots. The record is from Rfam.